Molecule: long non-coding RNA, 691 nt
Organism: Malus domestica (apple)
Lineage: Eukaryota; Viridiplantae; Streptophyta; Magnoliopsida; Rosales; Rosaceae
Source: RefSeq, a predicted model, not a curated record
CAUAAAAAAAUGCCCGACAACUUUGGUAUGUUUCUAACUUUCAAUCGGUUAUUGGAAUAGUCGAGCUCAAUUGGGUUACCUUCCUUUUCUUCUGCUUCAUUUCCUUUGCUAUGUUUCUAACUUUCAAUCGGCUUCGUCUGCCUCUGUUUCUCCUGGUUCUGCUGCUGCUGCUACUUCUUCUUCCUCCUUUGCUUGAUAUCUUAUAUGUGUGUACGAACAGAUCUCCAAGCAUUUGAGAAACCCACCAAAACUGAGUUUCCACAGUGACUGAGAGUUCUCCAGCCAUGUCUCUGGUGCAAGGCAAAUGGAUCAAGGUCGAUAAAGCUGUCGGUGAUGAUUGGAAAUCGCUCUCGAGGCUGAAGUCGUGGUUUCAGCUAUUAAGGGGCCAGCAUAAGAUAGAAUGCACUGGAUAGGGCAAUACAAACCGAUCAGGUCCGACCCAAACCAAAUUCAGUUUCUGCAUGAGUCAUACAAUGAAGCUCUGGGAGAGUCAUUGAGCAUAGAUUAAGGCAAGAGACACGGGUUUCGGACAACCAAUUCGGAUUCAUGUCAGGACGCUUAACUAUGGAGGCAAUCUAUCUCUUAUGAAGAUUGAUGGAAAGAUAUAGAGAGGGGAAAAAGGAUUUACACAUGGUCUUUAUAGAUUUGGAAAAAGCGUAUGAUAUGGUCCCAAGAGACAUUUGAAGGAAAA